This 494-nucleotide ribosomal RNA is filed under the name uncultured bacterium. RNAcentral's name for it is "bacterial SSU rRNA". It matches the Rfam family "Bacterial small subunit ribosomal RNA", at positions 28 to 511 of the family's 1533-position model. The record is from RNAcentral.
GAUGAACGCUAGCUACAGGCUUAACACAUGCAAGUCGAGGGGCAGCAUGGUCUUAGCUUGCUAAGGCCGAUGGCGACCGGCGCACGGGUGAGUAACACGUAUCCAACCUGCCGUCUACUCUUGGACAGCCUUCUGAAAGGAAGAUUAAUACAAGAUGGCAUCAUGAGUCCACAUGUUCACAUGAUUAAAGGUAUUCCGGUAGACGAUGGGGAUGCGUUCCAUUAGAUAGUAGGCGGGGUAACGGCCCACCUAGUCUUCGAUGGAUAGGGGUUCUGAGAGGAAGGUCCCCCACAUUGGAACUGAGACACGGUCCAAACUCCUACGGGAGGCAGCAGUGAGGAAUAUUGGUCAAUGGGCGAGAGCCUGAACCAGCCAAGUAGCGUGAAGGAUGACUGCCCUAUGGGUUGUAAACUUCUUUUAUACGGGAAUAAAGUUUCCUACGUGUAGGAUUUUGUAUGUACCGUAUGAAUAAGCAUCGGCUAACUCCGUGCCAG